This is a long non-coding RNA of Drosophila simulans, 524 nucleotides long. RefSeq lists it as uncharacterized. The record is from RefSeq and is a predicted model, not a curated record. The transcript has 2 exons. NCBI's taxonomy places the organism in Eukaryota, Metazoa, Arthropoda, Insecta, Diptera, Drosophilidae.
GCAGAAUACAGCAGAAAUGGGAUUACUGCUCAUACAGAAUAUAAGAAUGUAUCAUGAACUUCCACAGCAUUAGCUGGAAAUAUUGCUGACGAACAGUCCACCUGAAUUAGCCUUGUUGAUGAUACAACCCAUAUCGCACAUGAACUUCAAAACAUUUAAUCUAAUCGCCGGUUGAAUUGAAAACGACAAAAGUCUGGGCAAUUGGAGCUUUUACGAGGGGCCAACUGCGGACUGGACUUCAUCGAGCGCAAUUGAUUCUGCGAAAUCUCUAAUGGAAAUAAAUGUGCUUUUAUGGCUGUCCCCCCCGCCUUACAUAACAAUUAAAUAAAGGCCGGGCCAAAACUGAAAGACUUUCACCAUCUGUCCAGGCACAAAAACAAACAAACUAACAAAACCGCAUUUGUUUCAUAAAUUUUUCUUUUUUAAUUAAAACUGGUUUCGUCGGUUUCCAGUUGACCCAAAACAUAGACUAGAUUUCCCUAACCAGCAUCCAAAACGACACAAAAUCCGAAUCAAAAGACAUU